This 308-nucleotide long non-coding RNA is filed under the name Hordeum vulgare. RNAcentral's name for it is "long non-coding RNA (HVUL_LNC003184)". Lineage: Eukaryota; Viridiplantae; Streptophyta; Magnoliopsida; Poales; Poaceae. The record is from RNAcentral.
UUUGCCGUUGCAAACAUGUUCAAUCCAUAACGAGCUGAAUCCAGAACGAUGAGCUAAUCAUAUCUACAAAACAAGAUAGGUCGAGUUCAUACCAACUUUUCUCCAUCUCAGUCACUUCAUCAUAUAUCGUCAUUAUUGCCUUUCACUUGGACGACCAAACGAUGUGAAAAAUAAGAGUGCACGUGCAUUGGACUAAGCCAGAAUCUGCAAGCAAUAACUCAAAGGAGAAGACAAGGUAAUAUGGACUCUCUGAUAGAUAAACGAUAAUAAAUAUGAGAGCCACUCAACAUGUCAUCGUGGUCUUCUCC